RNAcentral lists this ribosomal RNA (478 nucleotides) under uncultured soil bacterium. RNAcentral describes it as "bacterial SSU rRNA". It matches the Rfam family "Bacterial small subunit ribosomal RNA", at positions 26 to 495 of the family's 1533-position model. The record is from RNAcentral.
AGAGUGAACGCUGGCGGCAGGCCUAACACAUGCAAGUCGAACAGCAGCACAGGGGAGCUUGCUCCCUGGGUGGCGAGUGGCGGACGGGUGAGGAAUACAUCGGAAUCUGCCCAAUCGUGGGGGAUAACGUAGGGAAACUUACGCUAAUACCGCAUACGACCUUCGGGUGAAAGCGUGGGACCGCAAGGCCACGCGCGAUUGGAUGAGCCGAUGUCGGAUUAGCUUGUUGGCGGGUAAAAGCCCACCAAGGCGACGAUCCGUAGCUGGUCUGAGAGGAUGAUCAGCCACACUGGAACUGAGACACGGUCCAGACUCCUACGGGAGCAGCAGUGGGAAUAUUGGACAAUGGGCGCAAGCCUGAUCCAGCCAUGCCGCGUGUGUGAAGAAGGCCUUCGGUUGUAAAGCUACUUUUGUACCCGGAAAGAAAAGCUCUACGGUUAAUAGUCGAGAGUCCUGACGUACGGAAGAAUAAGCACCG